Molecule: ribosomal RNA, 457 nt
Filed under: uncultured Streptococcus sp.
Lineage: Bacteria; Bacillati; Bacillota; Bacilli; Lactobacillales; Streptococcaceae
Description: bacterial SSU rRNA
Rfam family: Bacterial small subunit ribosomal RNA
Source: RNAcentral
GCACAAGCGGUGGAGCAUGUGUUUAAUUCGAAGCAACGCGAAGAACCUUACCAGGUCUUGACAUCCCGAUGCUAUUUCUAGAGAUAGAAAGUUACUUCGGUACAUCGGUGACAGGUGGUGCAUGGUUGUCGUCAGCUCGUGUCGUGAGAUGUUGGGUUAAGUCCCGCAACGAGCGCAACCCCUAUUGUUAGUUGCCAUCAUUCAGUUGGGCACUCUAGCGAGACUGCCGGUAAUAAACCGGAGGAAGGUGGGGAUGACGUUAAAUCAUCAUGCCCCUUAUGACCUGGGCUACACACGUGCUACAAUGGUUGGUACAACGAGUUGCGAGUCGGUGACGGCGAGCUAAUCUCUUAAAGCCAAUCUCAGUUCGGAUUGUAGGCUGCAACUCGCCUACAUGAAGUCGGAAUCGCUAGUAAUCGCGGAUCAGCACGCCGCGGUGAAUACGUUCCCGGGCCUU